GUCUCUGGGAAGGCAGUGUUGUGGUCUAGAAGAAGAUGAGACUUCUGGGUCUUCUCCUGUGCCUGGUGACAACCCCCCAAGGUGUCGUGUCCCAGGUGCAGCUGCUGGAGUCAGGUCCAGGACUGGUGAAGCCGUCACAGACCCUCUCCCUCACCUGCACGGUCUCUGGAUUCUCCAUCACAACCAGUAGUUAUGACUGGACCUGGAUACGCCAAACCCCAGGGAAGAGGCUGGAGUGGAUGGGGUGCAUAAAUAAUAAUGGAGACACUUACUACAGCCCCUCCCUCAAGAGCCGAACCUCCAUCUCCAGAGACACAUCCAAGAACCAGUUCUCCCUGCAGCUGAGCUCUGUGACCACCGAAGACACUGCUGUGUAUUACUGUUCAAGAGGCACAAGGAAAGUGAGGAAAGAAAACUGGAACUGGCUGAACAUCAACAAGAUGACAACCUAA
Myotis davidii is the source of this 452-nucleotide non-coding RNA. The record is from the annotation of a RefSeq genome assembly. Lineage: Eukaryota; Metazoa; Chordata; Mammalia; Chiroptera; Vespertilionidae.